RNAcentral lists this ribosomal RNA (276 nucleotides) under uncultured Lachnospiraceae bacterium. RNAcentral's name for it is "partial 16S ribosomal RNA". It matches the Rfam family "Bacterial small subunit ribosomal RNA", at positions 69 to 339 of the family's 1533-position model. The record is from RNAcentral. Lineage: Bacteria; Bacillati; Bacillota; Clostridia; Lachnospirales; Lachnospiraceae.
AUUUUCUUCGGAAAUGAAGAUUUUGUGACUGAGUGGCGGACGGGUGAGUAACGCGUGGGUAACCUGCCUCACACUGGGGGAUAACAGUUAGAAAUAGCUGCUAAUACCGCAUAAGCGCACGGUUCCGCAUGGAACAGUGUGAAAAACUCCGGUGGUGUGAGAUGGACCCGCGUCUGAUUAGCUUGUUGGUGAGGUAACGGCCCACCAAGGCGACGAUCAGUAGCCGACCUGAGAGGGUGAUCGGCCACAUUGGGACUGAGACACGGCCCAAACUCC